UUCCUACGGGGGGCAGCAGUGAGGAAUAUUGGUCAAUGGCCGCAGGGCUGAACCAGCCAAGUCGCGUGAGGGAAUAAGGCCCUACGGGUCGUAAACCUCUUUUGCCGGGGAGCAAGGGCGGGGACGUGUCCCGGCCCGGAGAGUACCCGGAGAAAAAGCAUCGGCUAACUCCGUGCCAGCAGCCGCGGUAAUACGGAGGAUGCGAGCGUUCUCCGGAUUUAUUGGGUUUAAAGGGUGCGUAGGCGGAAGGUUAAGUCAGCGGU
RNAcentral lists this ribosomal RNA (263 nucleotides) under uncultured bacterium. RNAcentral's name for it is "partial 16S ribosomal RNA". It matches the Rfam family "Bacterial small subunit ribosomal RNA", at positions 336 to 595 of the family's 1533-position model. The record is from RNAcentral.